RNAcentral lists this ribosomal RNA (622 nucleotides) under uncultured archaeon. RNAcentral describes it as "bacterial SSU rRNA". It matches the Rfam family "Archaeal small subunit ribosomal RNA", at positions 146 to 774 of the family's 1478-position model. The record is from RNAcentral.
AUAAUACUCCAUAGAUUAGAGAUACUGGAAUGUUCUUUAGUCAAAAGUUCUGGCGCCUUAGGAUGGAUCUGCGGUCGAUUAGGUUGUUGUUGGGGUAACGGCCCAACAAGCCUGUAAUCGAUACGGGUUGUGGGAGCAAUAGCCCGGAGAUGGAAUCUGAGACAAGAUUCCAGGCCCUACGGGGCGCAGCAGGCGCGAAAACUUUACAAUGCAGGAAACUGUGAUAAGGGAACCCCGAGUGCCCGUAUACGCGGGCUGUCCAGGUGUUUAAAAGUCAUCUGAAGAAAGGGCCGGGCAAGACCGGUGCCAGCCGCCGCGGUAAUACCGGCGGCUCGAGUGGUGGCCACUAUUAUAGGGCUUAAAGCGUCCGUAGCUGGACUGAUAAGUCUCUUGGGAAAUCCGCCGGCUCAACCGGCGGGCGUCUAAGGGAUACUGUUGGUCUAGGGACCGGGAGAGGUGAGAGGUACUGCCGGGGUAGGAGUGAAAUCCUGUAAUCCCGGUGGGACCACCUAUGGCGAAGGCAUCUCACCAGAACGGGUCCGACAGUGAGGGACGAAAGCUGGGGGAGCAAACCGGAUUAGAUACCCGGGUAGUCCCGGCUGUAACUAUGUGCGUUAGGUGU